GGAUGAACGCUGGCGGCGUGCCUACUACCUGCAAGUCGAGCGAACAGACGAGGAGCUUGCUCCUCUGACGUUAGCGGCGGACGGGUGAGUAACACGUGGAUAACCUACCUAUAAGACUGGGAUAACUUCGGGAAACCGGAGCUAAUACCGGAUAAUAUAUUGAACCGCAUGGUUCAAUAGUGAAAGACGGUUUUGCUGUCACUUAUAGAUGGAUCCGCGCCGCAUUAGCUAGUUGGUAAGGUAACGGCUUACCAAGGCAACGAUGCGUAGCCGACCUGAGAGGGUGAUCGGCCACACUGGAACUGAGACACGGUCCAGACUCCUACGGGAGGCAGCAGUAGGGAAUCUUCCGCAAUGGGCGAAAGCCUGACGGAGCAACGCCGCGUGAGUGAUGAAGGUCUUCGGAUCGUAAAACUCUGUUAUUAGGGAAGAACAAAUGUGUAAGUAACUAUGCACGUCUUGACGGCACCUAAUCAGAAAGCCACGGCUAACUACGUG
This 498-nucleotide ribosomal RNA is filed under the name uncultured bacterium. Its description in RNAcentral is "partial 16S ribosomal RNA". It matches the Rfam family "Bacterial small subunit ribosomal RNA", at positions 27 to 507 of the family's 1533-position model. The record is from RNAcentral.